AGUGGUUCUCGGGUGAUGCACCCCAGAACCAGAGAGGAGGGAGCCUGAUUCUGGGGUGUGUCACCCAAGAACCACC
Myotis brandtii (Brandt's bat) is the source of this 76-nucleotide non-coding RNA. The record is from Rfam. NCBI's taxonomy places the organism in Eukaryota, Metazoa, Chordata, Mammalia, Chiroptera, Vespertilionidae.